Molecule: ribosomal RNA, 500 nt
Filed under: uncultured bacterium
Lineage: Bacteria
Description: partial 16S ribosomal RNA
Rfam family: Bacterial small subunit ribosomal RNA
Source: RNAcentral
AUUGAACGCUGGCGGCAGGCCUAACACAUGCAAGUCGAGCGGAUGACGGGAGCUUGCUCCUUGAUUCAGCGGCGGACGGGUGAGUAAUGCCUAGGAAUCUGCCUGGUAGAGGGGGACAACGUGUCGAAAGGAACGCUAAUACCGCAUACGUCCUACGGGAGAAAGCAGGGGACCUUCGGGCCUUGCGCUAUCAGAUGAGCCUAGGUCGGAUUAGCUAGUUGGUGGGGUAAUGGCUCACCAAGGCGACGAUCCGUAACUGGUCUGAGAGGAUGAUCAGUCACACUGGAACUGAGACACGGUCCAGACUCCUACGGGAGGCAGCAGUGGGGAAUAUUGGACAAUGGGCGAAAGCCUGAUCCAGCCAUGCCGCGUGUGUGAAGAAGGUCUUCGGAUUGUAAAGCACUUUAAGUUGGGAGGAAGGGCAGUAAGCUAAUACCUUGCUGUUUUGACGUUACCGACAGAAUAAGCACCGGCUAACUCUGUGCCAGCAGCCGCCGUAA